AUGAAGAAAAACACCUUUUAUUUUUCAUUCCAGUUCAUCCAUAAUAGAGGCAGUCGACGACGCGAUGGUGUUGACGACGUGACGGUGUUGUUGGAGAGUGAGCAGUUCCUGACGGAGCUGACCAGACCCUUCCAGAAGUGCCGGAUGUCGGGAAGCGUCUAUAUCACCUUGAAGAAGUAUGAUGGUUGAACCAAACCCAUUCCAAAGAAAGGUACUGUGGAGGGCUUUGAGCCCGCAGACAACAAGUGUCUUUUAAGAGCUACCGAUGGGAAAAAGAAGAUCAGCACUGUGGUAAGCUCCAAGGAAGUGAAUAAGUUUCAGAUGGCUUAUUCAAACCUACUGAGAGCUAACAUGGAUGGGCUGAAGAAGAGGGACAAAAAGAAAAAAACUACGAAGACCAAAGCAGCAGCAGCAGCUCCAGCAGCACCAGCACCAGCUCCAGCAGCACCAGCAGUACCACUGCCAGCAGCAGCAGCAGUACCACCGCCAGCAGCAGCACCACCACCAGUAGCAGCAGCAGCAUCAACAACAACAAUAGCAACAGCAGCAGCAGCAGCAGCAGCACAGUAAAGGAUACAAAUUUCUUGCUUUUACCAAUUAACCACUGAGUUGCUAUUUUUUUCCUUUGGUUUUUACUUUUGGCCACAUAGCUAGGCUUCUGGUUCCCCCACAGUAGGUGUUUUCACAUAAAAUGAGGGUCCUUUUGGAAAGAAUAGUUGCAAUGUUUAUAGGGUAGUUGUAGUAAGAACCUAGUUUAUUUUACAUUUGGUUAAUUGGUCUGUGCUGCAUGGUUAUAUACUCCUGGAUUAUAGAUUAAAAGUCUCUGUAGUCAUCUCUGAAGAGCAAGCUAUCAUUAAACAUGUCUGUUUAUC
RNA transcript from Sapajus apella (tufted capuchin), 872 nucleotides. It is a transcript of the gene named signal recognition particle 14 kDa protein-like, with no coding region annotated. The record is from RefSeq and is a predicted model, not a curated record. NCBI's taxonomy places the organism in Eukaryota, Metazoa, Chordata, Mammalia, Primates, Cebidae. The transcript has 2 exons.